CAGUUUAGUGUGGAGGAUACCAAGAAAAAAACUGCACUAAGAUUUGUUGAGAAUCGUAAAUGUGUCCAUGCUCCAGUUGCUGACUUCAGAGACUUCCACCGUUUCUUUUGCAGUAAUAUCCAGGCUGGACUUGGCUCUCUUUUCAUUCUUCUCCUUUUACAGCGCAGGUCCCUACCUAACUUCUUCCCUCUGCUCGUCCCCCCGGGCCUACGUCUGCUCAUCCAAUCUGCCCCUGAUAGUUAAAGCAGUGGAUAUCUCAGGAGAGAUGCUACUGGUGGAUGUGUACGCCUCUCUUUAAUUCGGGGGCCAAGCGUCUGAGUGCAGUGGCAGCACAUUCCUCGUGGCCCAGCCAGUCAAGAGUGUUCCCAGGACCGAGGGCCCCUGAGCUAAGAUCUAAUCUGGCUUCCUGUGGGAACGAGGGGCCAGAGGACCGCCAGCGCCAGCCCUUUGCCAAUCAGCUCCAGCCUGAAAAGUGUGGGGGCCUUGGAGAGAAAUGAAGCACAUUACCCCCCUGCGCUCGGAUAACAGUGGAAAUGAACGGUCAGUUCACACACCUGGUAGAGCUCAAUCCUCUGCUCGUUUCUCUUGGCGCUGGAGUUGGGGAUCCUCAGGGCUCUGAACUCGGCCCUGAACAAGUUUGUGGAGUUUUUCUCCAUAGUUGAGACGUUGAAGCGGAAUACCUUGGAGGUGAUACCCUUAGGACAGUAGGAGAGGUCAUCUGCAGGUAAAGAGGAAAUCAUGUGAUUAAAUAGCUUAUGAUGGAACUCUAAUUAUCUGGAAGAAAUCCUUUAUCCUUGAUCCAUCUGUUACUUUGCUGUGUGUAUUUCAUCGGACAUCCCUGCAGGGGUGGACGUGUUUACUCUCGGAUUAUUGAUGACUUUCUAACUGAGGAUUUCCCUUUUCACCUUUAGGAAGUUUACAGAUUAAAAAAACCUUCAGUAUUUCUAACUAUUUCAAGUUCUUUCCAGAGGGACAUGGGCCAUUAGUGUGAGCCAUCUGCUUUUGCUUUGUGCCGUCCAAGUUAGCAACAAGUUGAAGUCAUGAAAUGAAAACCAAAUGUCCCAUGUGGUGGUGGUGGAGCAAUCUGCGGUGGGACAGCAGCAGCAGCCCCCCCCUCCUCCUUUUCCCUUCAACUCGUGAGCCCAACAGGUGCUCCAAGGGCUCGGACAGCGGCCAAGUAUUCCCCUUGAACCAUGAGGAGCAUGUGGGCUCACGUGCUGGAGCAGAACAAUACCUGAGGAACCGCAGCGGAGGGGGGACACGAUUAAUGCAACUGAGUGCAGGCUUGAAAAGAGGUAACUGUAUACAUGAUGUGUGUCUGUGUUUGUGUGUUUUACGCUGACCUUUAGCAGACUCAGUGUAAUA
Molecule: long non-coding RNA, 1365 nt
Organism: Notolabrus celidotus (New Zealand spotty)
Lineage: Eukaryota; Metazoa; Chordata; Actinopteri; Labriformes; Labridae
Exons: 3
Source: RefSeq, a predicted model, not a curated record